Molecule: long non-coding RNA, 457 nt
Organism: Magnolia sinica
Lineage: Eukaryota; Viridiplantae; Streptophyta; Magnoliopsida; Magnoliales; Magnoliaceae
Exons: 2
Source: RefSeq, a predicted model, not a curated record
UGCUUUUUCUCAAAAUUGUCCAUUGUUUUGACGUGGUGGUGGACUGCCCGAUAAGGGGACAAGCUUAAUCAUUGUCCGGUCAUCUGGAUGGUUGGGCCUAUUUUUAUGCAUGCCUCAGAUUUCCCAGACGCGUGAGAAGUUGGCAUGUGUGAACUAGAGAGUUUAAUGGUGUGUAUAGGUAUCUUUGUAGCUGCACAUUUAAUCGGCAUGGAUUGGUAAUAUGGGUAAUGUUGUAUUUAGCAUAAUUACAUGUAUCAAUAUUGUCUACCCACAAGCCAAAUCUCUCUCUGUAUGUGUGUGUGUUUUAAGUCUAUACAAGUGAGGUCCAUAGUUCCAAGAUCCAAACUGUUGACAUGGUGGGCCUCAAUUUGGAUGGCUCUCGCAUUGGCAAUUCUCUAAUUGGAAAUCCUAACAGUUUUAGUGGCCAACAGAUAGAUGAUCAAGGAAAAAAAAAGAA